AGACAUGUCAAGAUCAUAUCCACCAAUGAUUAACCGUCUUCGUUUCUUGGAGACCAAGCUACGUAGAUAAUAACUUGUUGUAAGGUAAGGUACUACCGUAAGUCCCAAGGAAACAAAGUGUGAGAUUAUUGAAAGGGGUUUUAUACCUGAAGAACUGAUCAUGAAGUUGAAGAAGGGAUUAUUCAGGUUCCCAAAUUGAGGGAAUUGGGAACCCGAGGAAGAAGAAGAUGUCGCGAGGUAUAAACAAAACGAAGAAAAAAAGCUUCAAGUUUUGGGAGAAAAUGGAGUUUGUUACCUCAAAGAGAGAUAAUGAUCAUUCAUAGAUGAAAACUGUGAACAACGAUGCAAUUCCAUUUUUGGAGUUUUUCAAAUUUAGCCAAGCUUCCCCUUUUAAA
Capsella rubella is the source of this 395-nucleotide long non-coding RNA. RefSeq lists it as uncharacterized. The record is from RefSeq and is a predicted model, not a curated record. NCBI's taxonomy places the organism in Eukaryota, Viridiplantae, Streptophyta, Magnoliopsida, Brassicales, Brassicaceae. The transcript is spliced from 2 exons.